AGGAAAGCACUUGGUGAAAUACCAUUUCACAUUUUUCGUGCUUCUGUUUCAGUCGUGAACAGUGUGUCUCUCUGAGCGAACUACUGAAGAAGUUCCAGAGCUGCCGAAAUCGCUUGGGCAGCACUUUGCAGAAAGCAGAGCAGACUAUUGGUGACCAGGCCUCCUAUAUUGGCAAAGACAACCUGCAGCUCCUGAUCAGUAAGGUACAGAAAUACUGAAAAAUCCUGUGUGCAGUGCUUCCAUUCUUGGUGGACUGCAGGUGGCAGUAUUAACCUCAUUGUUUUAGAUGAUUUUUAGUGUUAACUACAUGUAUACAACAUAUUCAUUAGAUAAAACUGGGGAUAGAAUGAGUAUAAAUAACUACAUGACUAUUAUUUAUAUUUUGUGUAUGUGUGCAGGUGACCAGUAUAAAGACAGAUCUCAGUGGUCUUGGGGACAGGGUGGAGGAGUUCAGAGCUGUGUGUCGACAGCUGCAGUCUCUGAUGAGAAGGAUCCCAGACUGUGCUGAAGCUCCAUUUGAGAGUGAGGCUGACACCCUCAUGGACCGCUGGCUUGAUGUAUGUUCCCUCAGUAAUGCCGUAGUGUGAUUGAAAUACUCUCACUCUAUUUUUCUAAUAAUGUUCAGUGUUUGCAUUAACCUGCUAUUUCAGGUCACCGAGAAAGCAGACUGUCAUCUGGACAACCUUCAAGCUGGCUUCUCUCUUUGGGAAAAACUCCAACUGCUGGCUGGAGAGGUGGAGGGCUGGAGCGCCCAAAAGCUGAUGACACUUGCUGAGUCACACCCCUUUCAGACAGAGCAGGAUGUGUCUGCCAUGCAGGAUGAACUCAGGAUACAAGAGGAGAACAUUGAACAUUUCCAUCGCAGAUCUUCAGAGAUCCAGGAGCUGCUGCAGAGUCGCGAGCUCCCACUGGAGCUACAGGUGAUUACACACACCAGCAACUUUUCACAAUGCUAUUUUUUUUUAAUUAAUGCUAGACAAUGUGUAAUGACAUUUGUAUGCAGAAAUGAUGUGAUAUACAGUGGUAAACCUAUAUAUAGUUAUAGGUAAAGCUCAUGUAUUAGUAUUAACCAGGCUAGCACAUUGACCACUCUUUAAAUUUCAGCAAAUUCACUAUUGUUUGUUUUUAAAGGUGAUUGAGAGCCAGCUGAGGAAGAAGAUGGAAGAGGUGAAGGAGCUCUUUUCUGAGACCAGUGAUGUUUUUAGUCAGCUGGAAGCUGCCAAGGGGAAGGUGGCAUCUGAUAUUGCAGAUCACCUGUCCUCCAUUCAGACUAUUACAAAUGCACUGACCACAUCUGAGAGCCCACUGGUCCUCAAAACAAUCCAGGUGAAUGUUUAUGCUUUAAGACUAAGCUGAGAACAGAUUCAAAUGCAAUGCAGCAGUGUAGUGAAGUUCAGUUUUGGCACGUUUUGAUCUACUGUACUUGUUUUUUUAUUUUUAUUUAUUUAAACCUUCAAUCAGUUCACCUAAAUAUUUUUUUGAUGAGCUAACCCUUUAAUGCAACCAUUCUGGGUGGCAGGGCUUAUCGGAGCAGUUGCAAGCGGAAGCAGAGCAGGCAGAUGCAUUACUGCAGCAGAUAAGUCUUCUGGCCAGCAUUGCAGGUCUAGAAAACCUGCAGACGCUGGCUGAAGAUGGAGCUCACCUUCGAGAACGCAUCUGCAUGGCCAGAGAGCUGGUCAUAGAGAAGAGAGAGCAAGCAAUUAACCCCAAUAGACCUGAAAAUCAAAUGGUCCAAGACCCUAAGCACAUCAAGCCCUUGAUUGAAAAAACAGAAGAUGCUGCGCCAGAGAUACAGUCUGAAACUAAUGGUAAAACAGAGGAACAGUCAAAGACACAAGAUGAGCUGAAGGACUUCAAAGAGCAGGCCUGCAGCUGGGCCAGUGAACUGCAUCUGAAGGUUUCUGAGGAUGUGAACAGAUGGGUAACACCUGAGGAGAAACUCACAGCAGUGCAGGUAAUAUUCUUGCCAUGGGUCUAUUAUUAGUUCUUAAAGGGUGUGCAUCUUUAAAAUGCCUUAAAUGAAAUGCGAAAAUUUUUAGCUUUG
Molecule: long non-coding RNA, 2044 nt
Organism: Cyprinus carpio (common carp)
Lineage: Eukaryota; Metazoa; Chordata; Actinopteri; Cypriniformes; Cyprinidae
Source: Ensembl